This is a long non-coding RNA of Aethina tumida (small hive beetle), 3603 nucleotides long. RefSeq lists it as uncharacterized. The transcript is spliced from 6 exons. Lineage: Eukaryota; Metazoa; Arthropoda; Insecta; Coleoptera; Nitidulidae. The record is from RefSeq and is a predicted model, not a curated record.
UUAGUACUGGAUUAGAGGUCUGAGCACGUAAAAGAUGUUAAUUCCUCAUUAUGCACGUACGAUCAAUUAGUGAACAUAGUAGUCUGCGAUUUUCCUUUCUCUGAUUCAUAUACGUAAUAUUUUUCAUUGAUGGCCGGAGUUUCACGUGGAAAACACUCCCCCCCGAUCUCAGCAAGAUGGUUUGAAUGAACUCCACAUCCUUUGUGCAGGACAAGUCCUGCUCAUGUUCCAUUUACAUAUCCCUAAUCCGUACAUUAGUCAAACCGAUUCACUUCCUCGAUCCGCACCAGUGUAAUAACCUUGUCGAUCCAUUAGUUUUUCAGUUCGGUGUGGUCAAGACACCGAAACAAUUCUAAGGACCAAGCCGGUGCGGCACAAGGACGAACUUAUGGCCGCGUUGGCGUGUCAGACGAAGAGGCACAGAUUUAACCGGGAUGUCAACAUUGGGACCAGAAGUUCAACGACCGGCAUACUACGCUGCCGGCCCCCACCACCGCAACGGCAGCGCGUCUCACUUGUCUGGUUCCCCGUGCAGGCAAGUCGGCAUUGCUCCGCCGCCGCCACCGAUCAUUUUCAAAUGGUGGAUUUGUGAAAAUGCGGACUGUCGCCGUGAUUUACCGAUGGGGGAAUACCCCCUUUCAUAUUUUUCUUUUCAGCUGGAUUAGUUCGUCGGGUGCGGGGUGGAUGGCGCUGCGGAAUUGUCAUAACAUCUUCAAGGACACACUUGUCAUUCUGGAUUUGGAGAUGAAUAAUUGUUGCCUAACUUGUCUUGUCUACCUCUUUCUAGAAGAGAUUUAAAUAAACACAAAGCUGCAUAAAACAAAAAAGUGUGUGGGAAGUUGGCCAACUUUUAAACUAAAGAACAAAACAAUUCGUCAAUUGACUGGAAGCUUCCUCAAGUUGGCCAUUUCGUGAAACCCUUGCGGCACUAUUAUCAACAAACAAUCCGGCAUUUCAAUAUCGAUUAACCAUUGAUCCUUUUGUCAGUGCCUCUGCCGUAUUUUUCAAUCCCACAGCCACAAAAGGAUUAAGAUCGAUUGUCUCACGUCCAAAUAUAACGGUCCGUAGCCCGGACAAAUGGACAAUUAUGCAUUUGCGGCGAAGUGACCACCGGCCAAAUUCGCCCAUUGUCCGAGAUUUAGCGUGCGACCACUUCUGGGAAUCUGCUUUCUUUGCUCUGCGGAUUAGGCUUCCCUUUUUUUUUGCACGCCGACCAGAUCCAUCUUUGUGGACAGCUGUUUGGACGGACAAAUUAACGGACACCGAGUGCAUUUUGAUGUUUGACUGCCCAACCUGGCUGAAGUUCCGGACGAAAGGGGACAAACGAGACAACAAUAUGCAUCAAUCGCGACGUGUGAUAUUGCGUAACAAUUACAAUUAACAGUCCCCAGUAAUUGGAUUGGAUCUCUAUCGAUCGUCCGGUGUAAAACUGUUUAUUCAUGUUCCACGAGUUGUAGUUAGACUUGCAGUUUACAGGAUUACGACGUCGCCCCACGAUAAAACGCCAAUAAAAUAUUUAUAUCAAAAUCGAAUCCUGGUUACAUGUUGUCGGUUUCUAGAAGACCGAAGAGGCGAAAAAUAAAGAGCUGGUAAACAAGUGAAUUGCAGAGGUCGUUGACUGCCCCAGAAUCCUACUAAACUUGAAGAAGUGUCGGCCAUAGAAAAACCUAGACUUGCAAUAAUCCUCUCUUGGUGCUUUCUACACAAAAACAAUAACCCUCCUCCACCAAAACCGAAUCAACACCAAACAAACAUACCAAACAACAGUUUCGGUUGCACCACUAAGAUAAACAAAAUCACAAUUGCAAAAACCGAGUUCAAUGAACCGCCGAAACCGUCGGUUGAACUUUAAGAAGACCGGACGUAAGUGUCAAGUUCGUGUGGCGAGCUUGUUUUAUUGGCCAAUUCGGUUUGUUUCGCAAAUUGCAUUUUUAUGGGUUUGCAUGAUGGACGUGGCUGAAAAAAAGGGCUGAGUUGCGUCAUCGAAACUGGUAUUUUAUGGACUUCCUGGCCAAAAAAGCGAAGAGAGGAAUGAGAUGAAAAACAACGGAAUGCUUAAAGUUUGAACUUGGCGUUGUUGAAGCGUUGAAUAUGUUUAAUAUUGAGAUGCCAAGAGUAUGGUAAAGGAAGGUCAUAUAAGAAUAAGGAAGAAGGUAAUCAGUUGAUUGAUUGGUCUUUCAAAUUUGUUGUUACUAGCAACUAAAGGAAUUAAUAAUUGUUUUACAAGAGAUUUUAAGUAUCGAUUAUUGAAAAUGAUUCCCAUUGUUCUAGAAAUCUGAAAAAGAAAUUCUUCUUCUAAACACAAAAAUCUUCUUCCUUAAUCUUCAGAUUUAGCUCCUCCUAAAGUUUGAUCAAUGCCAACUGAUUACAUUAGUUUAAAAAAUAACAAACAAGUUAAAUUUGAAAUUGGUAUCAAGGUACCAUUGUAGAAGAUCAUCAUCUGCUCUUCCUUUGGUUGUAAUUAAAGUUGUAUUUCGAAGUAAUCCAACAAGUUUCACUGAGUCAUUCUCAGAUGAUUCGAGUCGAAAAAGCCAGUGUUAACGUCUUCUGGUAAGAGUUGCACCGCGGUGCCCCUUUAAACCACCAUAAUCCGAACCACCGGACCAGACUCAUUGUGAUACAAUCUCGGAACAAGUCAACAUCAUCACGGACAGAUCAAAAUUCCACGAGAAGACCGCCGGUCCAUAAAUCCAAGCAGAUUUCAAUCCGCGUUGGCGCUGCGGUCUUGAAGAUGUGGCAAUGACAGUCAAAAAAGGCCAUUGCCAACUUGAUUGCAACACGAUGGUCCCGUGAAACGAGUCGGUUCGUCGACCCCGACUCGUAAUGUGUUACGCCAACAACACCACGGUACCAUCCAAGACGUACGCCAUUGACCAACAGCACGAUGGAAGAGGGACCGCACCAUUGGAGGCGUGUUGCAGCUUCGUCGCCGCAGUAGGUGUAAAAAUGCUGCAAAAUGAGGGCGAAAGGUAAACCGUAAGUGAAGUCGUAUUUGGUAUGGAAUCGCCCGUAAACAACGCGAGGACUCGCGGCUACGCUCCUUUUCUGAGGUUACUGCGGAUCGUUGGUCCACAUUCUGCCCAUGCGAAAUUCCAUCAACCAAACAAAGACGAACAGUCGUCCUUUCUCCUGGCCGAAACAAGGACAGCGCUCGCUCGAGGUCUAUGAACUUGACUGGUAUAACUGUAAUGCAUUGCAUAAGUGACGUCCCGUUACAACUUUCAUUCAGGGACGGCAAGUGGUCGGAAUAAGAUUUGCGCAAACUCUCCUCCAAAUGUUCGGGCGACGGUGUCGUGUGCGGACGGCAGGAAGGGACGCAGGAAUCGUUAGGUUAUUAUCGGGCUGAUGGGGAGGACGAGAAGGAGGGAAGGAGUCAUGUGGAGAUCCCUCGGAAAGGGUUAAUGCCAGAUGGCAACCCAUCAAGGUUGAUUUAAGGAUGACAAAAAGACGCCUAUUUUUUGAAAAUUACUGCUUUUUUGCUUCAUCAGAAACACAUUAGAUGGAUCUGUCACAGGAAAUGAAGAAAGGUGCUGCACCAAUUAAGGAAAUAUCUCAAACCAGUUUAAAAUUUAACACUCUAAAUUAAAUUAAAAAUUAAAAAAA